GGUCAUCGUGUAGUGGUCAGUUAAUUGACAUUUAUUGCUUUGUAUUAAAUGAACUUCAAUGCUUAGCUAUGGAAGCAAAAGUAAUGACCACUGUUUAUAACAUAUUUAUAUAUCGCUUUUGGCUUUCUAAAAGUAAGUACCUGUCAAAGGUAGAAACAAACAACAUUCUUUCUAAAUUUAAGUCACGUUGGUAGAUGUAUAAAAGGACUGUCUUUCUCAGACAGUCCAG
Molecule: long non-coding RNA, 229 nt
Filed under: Mytilus galloprovincialis (Mediterranean mussel)
Lineage: Eukaryota; Metazoa; Mollusca; Bivalvia; Mytilida; Mytilidae
Source: RNAcentral